AAUGAACGUUGGCGGCGUGGAUUAGGCAUGCAAGUCGAGCGCUCAUAGCAAUAUGGGAGCGGCGAACGGCGUAGUAAUAUGUAGGAACGUACCCUCGGGUCGGGGAUAGCCAUGGGAAACUGUGGGUAAUACCCGAUAAUCUCUGCGGAGCAAAGGUGUGAUUCCGCCUGAGGAGCGGCCUACACGAUAUUAGCUAGUUGGUAGGGUAAUGGCCUACCAAGGCUACGAUGUCUAGGGGGUGUGAGAGCAUGGCCCCCACGACCGGAACUGAGAUACUGUCCGGACACCUACGGGUGGCUGCAGUCGAGAAUCUUCCGCAAUGGACGAAAGUCUGACGGAGCGACGCCGCGUGCGGGAUGAAGGCCCUUGGGUUGUAAACCGCUGUCAGAGGGGAUGAAAUCUUCGGAGGUGCUCCUCCAAAGUUGACAGAGCCUCAAAGGAAGCACGGGCUAAGUACGUGCCAGCAGCCGCGGUAAAGUCAC
Molecule: ribosomal RNA, 482 nt
Filed under: uncultured bacterium
Lineage: Bacteria
Description: bacterial SSU rRNA
Rfam family: Bacterial small subunit ribosomal RNA
Source: RNAcentral